Molecule: ribosomal RNA, 453 nt
Filed under: uncultured Barnesiella sp.
Lineage: Bacteria; Pseudomonadati; Bacteroidota; Bacteroidia; Bacteroidales; Barnesiellaceae
Description: bacterial SSU rRNA
Rfam family: Bacterial small subunit ribosomal RNA
Source: RNAcentral
ACGGAAGGCAGCAGUGAGGAAUAUUGGUCAAUGGACGCAGGUCUGAACCAGCCAAGUCGCGUGAGGGAUGGCGGUCCUAUGGAUUGUAAACCUCUUUUGCCGGGGAGUAACGUGCGGGACGUGUCCCGUAUUGAGAGUACCCGAAGAAAAAGCAUCGGCUAACUCCGUGCCAGCAGCCGCGGUAAUACGGAGGAUGCGAGCGUUAUCCGGAUUUAUUGGGUUUAAAGGGAGCGCAGGCGGCGCGUCAAGUCAGCGGUAAAAUGUCGGGGCUCAACCCCGGCCGGCCGUUGAAACUGCCGUGCUCGAGUUCGUGCGAGGAGAGCGGAAUGCGUGGUGUAGCGGUGAAAUGCAUAGAUAUCACGCAGAACGCCGAUUGCGAAGGCAGCUUACCAGCAUACAACUGACGCUGAUGCACGAAAGCGUGGGUAUCAAACAGGAUUAGAUACCCUGGUA